GGGCUGUGCGGCCUGUAGCAGCCGACGCGGUGGCAGGUGAAAGCCAAUGGGAGAGGGGCAAGAGGGGCGGCUCGUGGUCAGCCCCCACCGGGGAGCGGGAGCGACGCUCUGCUCCGCCCGAGUGGGCUCCUGGAGAGACUGGGAUAAAGAGUAAUUUUCUCUUGACUCUUCUGUCCGAGGAAGCCUAACCGAGUUCCAGCAGCCUUAAACCCACCCAAAGGCUCACCUGGCUGGCAAGACAGCCUCACGCCUGUAGUUUUUCGCUCAAGAGUGUGGAUUUGUCAGAACAGCUCCCUGCAAGAGGCAGGGAAAGCACUUCUAGCCCCAUUUUCUUCAGAUGACAACGCCAGGGUACAGAGGCACUGAGAAAUCUAUUUCCCCGCUGCAGCAACACCAAGGGCAACGGGAAAGUCGCCAGGUGACCCACGCAGGGUGUGCUGUGACCCGCGUUGAGAGUGAGGAGUGGGAGCCGUCACUGCUGUCCCCGAAGUUCCCUGGGUGUAACACCUGAGCUCCACAGCAGCUGCCCCAGGAAGUCUCGAGGGGACAAGGUGAAGAGCCACCCGACUGGACCCAGCUCCUCCCAAGCCCAGAGAAGGUUAGACAUUCCAGAGAACUUCUAGUCCCAAACAGCAUCUCUCUGCCAGACUCAGCCUUCUGAUCCAAGCAAAAAAAGUAAAAUUGACAAGCUCUUUCUUUCCCCAGAGGCCAAGUUUGUCAUCCAAAAAUAAAUCUAGCUCUCCUGGCAACUGAUCUGUUCAGUUUCAGCCAUAUGCCUCGUCCUCUGGGACUUCUAUUUGUGAGGAGAUAUUUGAGUAGAACCUCAAAUAUUUAGUAUGCGUGAAGAACACCAGUUUCAUAAAUAUAUCUGUGUUCCUGUAUAAUUCGGAGGAGUCCUACCUUGUCUUGUAUUCAGAAUAAUACCUUUCUGUUCAUUUCAACAAGCACCUUAAUGCACAUCCUUCAGUACCUAGGACAAUGUUCACUGUUAUGAGGGACCUUUGGACCCACACCCAGCCCUCUGAGAGGCUGCAAACUAAUUAAGGCAGAGAGCCUUAAUUAGAUACCCAAAGACCACAUUUAAGAGUGCAGCCUGUACUGUGUUUGGCAACUGAGAGAGUGAGGACUCACUACAGACCUAAAGGGCAGUACAGUCUUAUGAAGGUGGGAGAUCCUGAAAAAGGCUCUGGAGCAAAGUGCUCUACAGUGUAAACAUACCUUGAUUUGUGCUUGGGUCACUUAUUACAACAGCUGUGUUUAAGGUCCAAGACUCUUGCCAAAUAUACUACUGAGUGUGGGAACUUGGGACACUGUCUUAAUUACGUUUUUUGUUACUGAGACAAAAUACCUGGCACUGAAAGUUAAAGGAAGAAAGGUUUAUUUCAGCUCUGUCUGUAGAGGUCUCAGUCCAAGGGAGAGCGGCAUGGCAGAGGGACAUCACAGAGGAGAAACAGCACAUGACAAAGCAGGGCAGGCAGAAGGCAGCCAACAGUGAAGUAGCAAGCAGCAAGCAGCAAGGGACAGGCAACAGCCCUCUUUCUAUCUCUUAUAGUCUCUCUGGGCUACAUGCCCUUAAGGUGGAUAACAUUCACACCCAGCAUGGGCCUUCCCAUUUUCCACACUCAGAACUAUGCCAAACCAAUCAGUGGACUAAUUUAAUAAUUACACACCUUUAAUCCCAGCAUCACACACUCUAGAUCUGUCCACCUCUGAAAAAGCCCCACUUAUGACUGCAUGAGGCUCUGGGGAGAGACAUCUAGACACAGCUGUAACAGACACCAAGAAUACUGCAUUCUUUCUAGAUUCGUGUUAUAACCUUAGCAUGUGGCUAAGGUAGGGUUCUCUAGAGAAACAAUCAGGAGAGAGAGAGAGAAAAAUAUAUAUAUAUACAAUUAUUCAAGGAAAUCAUUAAAUAGGCCCUCAGGAUCAGAGACAGGAUGGUCUACAAUGACGAUGUGCACAUUGGAGAGCCAGAAGUUCCCAUAGCUACUCAGUGCACUAAGCUGGAAGCUACAGAACAAGAGGGAUCAAGGAUGCAGUGCCAGUCUAAAACUGAAGGCCUAGAAGCUCCCUGGAAAAUCGCUAGUAGGAAUCCCCAGUGAAAUGCUGAAGAAGAUGCAGUCUGAUGUCUACAGGAGAUGGCAGUAGCAAAAAACAUACUACUCAUUUGAACAGAACGGAGCUUUCUAAAUGCAAGCCAACUUUCUCCUUCCCCUUUUCAUUCUGUCUGGGCCACAAGCCUAUAGGAUUACACCACCCACAGUCAGGAUGGGUCUUCCCUCUUCAGUUUGCUGGCCUACAUGCCAGUCAUCUCGGAAAAUACCCUCCCGCAGACACACCCAGAAGUAUAUUUUCUAAUCUACUCAGCAUUUCUUAAUCCAGCCAAGUUGACAGUCAUGAUUAAAGGUCACAGAAGUUAUUAUUGGUUCUAUUAUGCAAAGGAAGCUUACCCACAGAAGUUAAUCUUAUCAAGACCACACUUUAAAUUUUAAAUCUACAUGACAAAAAUAGAGUGACAAAAAAAUCUAGAAACUUCUCUCUUUUGUAUAAAAAAGACAUAUGAUUUUAAAUCUUCAAUUAAUAUCUUAUUUUCUGUAUCAUCCACUUUCUCUUUAUAAACAGCUACCUACAGGAUUUUUCUAUUCACAAAUGAUGUCAAGUAAAUUUCACACAAAGAUCUAAAAAAAAUAUUGUCAUAUGUCUUUUUAACAAAAUAAAGUGGUCUAGACUUUUGUCCUAAAACAUUCUGUAACUAAAUUCAUCUUGUUGGGUGACUAACUGGAUGAAAAUGCUAUGUUUCCUCUUCUUAAAAACAUAUCUUUUUUAGCACAGCACCUGCUUGGCAAGUGUGAGGUCCUGAGUUCGAUCCCUGAUACAAAAAAAAAAAACAUAUUUUUUAUUCGUUAAUUCUUGGCUGAGGAAAAUCAUCUAGGAUAUUAUUAUAGGAGAACUCAAAGGUAAUAUGUAUGUCAUCAUCUUUUGUCUAGACGCUAUUGUCUCAUG
This 3003-nucleotide long non-coding RNA is filed under the name Heterocephalus glaber (naked mole-rat). RNAcentral describes it as "lncRNA (ENSHGLG00100041128.1)". The record is from RNAcentral. Lineage: Eukaryota; Metazoa; Chordata; Mammalia; Rodentia; Bathyergidae.